This 64-nucleotide transfer RNA is filed under the name Hemitheconyx taylori. Its description in RNAcentral is "tRNA-Cys". The record is from RNAcentral. Lineage: Eukaryota; Metazoa; Chordata; Lepidosauria; Squamata; Eublepharidae.
UGCCCUGCAGUGAACUCACGCUAAAGUGCAAAUUUAGAGAAGCACCUAAACGGUGCCGGGGCUU